CACAAGCAGCGGAGCGUGUGGUUUAAUUCGAUGUUUACACGAAGAACCUUACCAGGGUUUGACAUGCAGGUGGUAGUGAAGCGAAAGCGGAACGACUCUUCGGAGAGCCUGCACAGGUGCUGCAUGGCUGUCGUCAGCUCGUGUCGUGAGAUGUUCGGUUAAGUCCGCUAACGAGCGCAACCCCUGCCGUGUGUUACAAGUGUCACACGGGACUGCCGGUCUUAAGCCGGAGGAAGGUGGGAUGACGUCAAGUCAGCAUGGCCUUUAUAUCCUGGGCUACACACACGCUACAAUGGGUGGUACAACAGGUUGCGAAACCGCGAGGCGGAGCCAAUCCGUAAAGCAGGCCUCAGUUCAGAUUGCAGUCUGCAACUCGACUGCAUGAAGCCGGAGUUGCUAGUAACCGCAGGUCAGCAAUACUGCGGUGAAUACGUUCCCGGGUCUU
Molecule: ribosomal RNA, 445 nt
Filed under: uncultured Longilinea sp.
Lineage: Bacteria; Bacillati; Chloroflexota; Anaerolineae; Anaerolineales; Anaerolineaceae
Description: bacterial SSU rRNA
Rfam family: Bacterial small subunit ribosomal RNA
Source: RNAcentral